CCCUGAACACACCUGAUGUUGUCUGAUCUCUGAAGCUAAGCAGGG
Molecule: ribosomal RNA, 45 nt
Filed under: Prolemur simus (greater bamboo lemur)
Lineage: Eukaryota; Metazoa; Chordata; Mammalia; Primates; Lemuridae
Source: RNAcentral